UCUGGGAUAGCUCAGUCGGUACAGCAUGAGACUUUUAAUCUCAGGGUAAUGGAUUUGAGUCUCAUGUUGGGCAGAA
Molecule: non-coding RNA, 76 nt
Organism: Podarcis lilfordi (Lilford's wall lizard)
Lineage: Eukaryota; Metazoa; Chordata; Lepidosauria; Squamata; Lacertidae
Source: the annotation of a GenBank genome assembly